RNAcentral lists this long non-coding RNA (2726 nucleotides) under Nicotiana benthamiana. Its description in RNAcentral is "long non-coding RNA (NBEN_LNC036980)". The record is from RNAcentral. Lineage: Eukaryota; Viridiplantae; Streptophyta; Magnoliopsida; Solanales; Solanaceae.
CAGUAUUGAGUUAGAGCUUUGCCCAGAAGUGAAGAGGCUCAAAGACUCUUGUUGAGUCUGAUUCAAAUAUCCCAUAUUGUAUUUAUAUUUAGGUGGGCCCAAUUUCUACAGAUUUUCUAGCUGGGCCUAUCCGCCUCUACGUAACAUUAACCAAAUUCACAUAUUCAUAGCAGUUAUAUCAAUUACUGUUUAAGUAAAAAAAAAAAUAGCAUUCAAAGAUCAAACAAAAAUGCUAGUUUAAAAAUUAACCGCGGAAUUUGCAAGAUACAAUAGCAGGUGUUUAUACUAUUAUUCUCAAAGAAAUUUCACAAUUAAGGAUCAUGCUACCGGGUUUAAUUCCCAGGCCCAUUUGCCUUGGCCCAGACUUGUCCAAGUGAGUCCCAUAUUGGGCCUUGUUGCAAGUCUGGCCCAAUUCGUGAGAUAUUCACCCAUUAUGAAGUAAUAGUGCUUAUUACAAAAAAGAGGUCCUACUGCUAUGAACCUACACUAAUAAUUAAACAUAAUUAAAUUUUACAUCAUUCUAAAAAUCCAUUUUUACGAGCCAAAAGUCCAUAAAUUUACAAUAUACUCCUAAGUAUAACUAAUAUCUAAAAAAGAAAGAAAAGAAAUUUUUUAAAGUAAAAACAAAUCAAGCUUCAAUCUUGCGAGAAAUCAGCUAUAGAGUUGUUUCUCACAAGUCAAUAUUUUAAACUCCAGCCUUGAGAUUGCUUUGCCUUAUUAUACAACCCAAAAAUGCAAAUUUCAGUAUUUAUAUGAAUCCAUUGACUAGUGCAUUCCUAUCUUUAAAAUAAUAAAGCAAGCAAAAGAAACAAAGAUGACCAUUUCAGCAACUGAACUUCACAUUUUAUCCUAAAGUCUAACAAUUUUAAAGUUUGAACAUCUAAAAGAAAAGAGAUCACAAAUAGCCAUUGAGCCACACAAUGGGAGUCAUGCUGAUUCUUUUCCAUAUUCAACAGUAAAUUUAACUAUAUUCAUAUAAAUCAAUCAAACAUCACAUAAAACUCAUUCAUUUUACAUUUCUUGCAAAGCUUAUCAAUAUUCUAUCAUUUCAAAACAAAACAACAGUACAUGAGGAGAAAUAAAAUCAGUACCUUGAAUAAACAACAACAAAACCAGCAAGUGUAAGAUGAAAAAGAAGAAAACUGGCUGGAGCAUGAAAUGAAUGAAACAACCACAGGAAUACAAGCCACCAAAAGCCAAAUCAAAAACAAAACCAACAGGCGCAACAAAUUUAAUAGUAGUGAACCCAAAAAGAAACCCAGAAGACCUUCACCUUUAAACUAUUUUUUAGCUUAUGAAAAUCAGAAAAUCCUUCAAAAGUUCUUUAUGUUUUCUUUUGCAAAAUCAGAGAAAAGAAUCAGCUCCUAAGAUCAGUAGCUGAACUUUUAGAAUGUAUUUUUAAGGGUUUUCCAAAUCUGAUCCUAUUUUCAGAAUAAUAGUAUCUAUAUAUAUGCUGCCUACGAUAAGUAUUCUUUAAGAAUAUUCCUUAUCCUAAUUUUGAAAAUACUACUAUCCUUUUUUCACAACGUUGGUAGAACUAUUCCUUUUAUCCUAUUGUUUCAGCAUCUUUCACAACAGCCAGGACAGCUCUAUACUUUAUAAAAACUACUUUUCUUAGGUAUUUUCUGAAAAACUUAUCCUAAGCUUUUUUUAAUUCAAUUAAACCCCUACAAGUUUCUACUACUUUACAAAUUAAUGCAAACCAAUACAACAGUUAAUCAAAAUGCAAAUUAAAGUGAUAAUAGAAAUAACAUAAAAGAGAUGAUACAAUUUGAACUAAAACCAACCUAAUUAGUAGACGUAUGUGUUUAUCUACUUAAACCUAAACAACAACAAAAUUCAAAUGACUAAUGCAUCUGUACAAUAAUCAAAAAAAAUUAGCGUAGAACUGUAAGGAACCUAAAAUAGAAAAAUGGAAGAACAAGCAGAAACAUUUCAUGUAUCAAUGUUAAAAGUGAAACCUAAUUAAUCUAAAUUCAUGCAAUUGAAUAAUGAAAUUCUGACAUGCUCUAAUUAAACUACUAAGCAGAAACAACUAAUUAACUAAGCAUUUGUGAACAAAGAAAAUAAAACCUAAAAUUAUAAACAUAAAUAAUGCGGCUAGAAGAAGCAAUUAAACAUGAAGAAUGCAACAACAAAAGAUAAAAAAUAAACAGAGAGUGAAAGAAAUUACCUAAUCUUGUUCUAAACUGGACCCGCGAUGAAUUUGACCAAACUUAAACAAGGUAAAAUGAACUUAAAUUACCAAUAAUUGACUAUUCUCAACAAUAACAGUUCACUAAUGGAUGUUUUGGGUUCAGACAACCAACAAUUGACCGAAAAAUCAAAAGAGGGGAAAAAGUUGGGGUUUAGUGGAUAUGAGAUUUUAGAUUCGAAGAGUUUGGCUGGGAUUUUUGGGAAAUAAAAAGUAAGACAAUGGUGAGGGAGGUUGAGGGUCCUAUGGUGUGAGUUUGGGACCGUUUGGGUGAUUUAGGAUUUUGGGAUUCUAAUCUUAGAUUUAAGAUUCAAAAUGUUUGGUAUGGAUUUGAGGGAGACGGGUUGGAUAUUUGAAAAAGAGAGGGAAAUGAGGCAGUAGGGUGUUAAUAUGGUAAGGUUUAGGUUGGUCCGCCACCAUGAGGCAAUUUUUGCUUGGUAGACCACGACGGAGGCAGCGUGGGAACGAGGGCGGCUAGGGUUUGGUCCAACUAGAGAGGGGAGAGACUGAGAGAGUGUUGAAUGGGAGGGGG